CCUGCGGGCCGGGCCCCUCUGACGAUCCUGUGAUCGUGAUGUCGGACCGCAUCG
Novosphingobium aromaticivorans DSM 12444 is the source of this 54-nucleotide regulatory RNA element. It matches the Rfam family "terC RNA". Lineage: Bacteria; Pseudomonadati; Pseudomonadota; Alphaproteobacteria; Sphingomonadales; Sphingomonadaceae. The record is from Rfam.